AACGAACGCUGGCGGCAUGCCUAACACAUGCAAGUCGAACGAGACCUUCGGGUCUAGUGGCGCACGGGUGCGUAACGCGUGGGAACCUGCCCUUAGGUUCGGAAUAACUCCCCGAAAGGGGUGCUAAUACCGGAUAAUGUCUUCGGACCAAAGAUUUAUCGCCUUUGGAUGGGCCCGCGUUGGAUUAGCGAGUUGGUAAGGUAAAAGCCUACCAAGGCGACGAUCCGUAGCUGGUCUGAGAGGAUGAUCAGCCACACUGGGACUGAGACACGGCCCAGACUCCUAGGGGAGGCAGCAGUAGGGAAUCGUCAGCAAUGGGCGAAAGCCUGACGGAGCAACGCCGCGUGAGUGAUGAAGGUCUUCGGAUCGUAAAACUCUGUUAUUAGGGAAGAACAAAUGUGUAAGUAACUAUGCACGUCUUGACGGUACCGAAACAGAAAGCCACGGCUAACUACGUG
RNAcentral lists this ribosomal RNA (458 nucleotides) under uncultured bacterium. RNAcentral's name for it is "partial 16S ribosomal RNA". It matches the Rfam family "Bacterial small subunit ribosomal RNA", at positions 29 to 507 of the family's 1533-position model. The record is from RNAcentral.